GGUUUUUAUUUUUAUACUUUAAACUUUGAUUUUAUUUUUAUGUUUUUUAAAUAUUGGUGUUUUUGAAUGUGUUGUUUAAAUAACAUAAAAAAUAAAAUAUAUAUAUUGACAUGCAUUAAACAAAGAUAUAUAUUAUUUUAUGUUGUAUAAAUAAAUUGGCAAAAUAGAGAUGGAAG
RNAcentral lists this unclassified non-coding RNA (176 nucleotides) under Borreliella burgdorferi (Lyme disease spirochete). RNAcentral describes it as "partial rrf-rrl intergenic spacer". The record is from RNAcentral. Lineage: Bacteria; Pseudomonadati; Spirochaetota; Spirochaetia; Spirochaetales; Borreliaceae.